CAGUUCGGAUCGGAGUCUGCAACCCGACUCCGUGAAGCUGGAUUCGCUAGUAAUCGCGCAUCAGCCAUGGCGCGGUGAAUACGUUCCCGGGCCUUGUACACACCGCCCGUCAAGCCAUGGGAGCCGGGGGUGCUUGAAGUGCGUCGCCGCAAGGCGCGCCCUAGAGCAAAACCGGUGACUGGGGCUAAGUCGUAACAAGGUAGC
Molecule: ribosomal RNA, 204 nt
Filed under: uncultured bacterium
Lineage: Bacteria
Description: partial 16S ribosomal RNA
Rfam family: Bacterial small subunit ribosomal RNA
Source: RNAcentral